UACGUAGGGGGCAAGCGUUGUCCGGAUUUAUUGGGCGUAAAGGGCGUGUAGGCGGUUCGGUAGGUCCGUUGUGAAAACUCGAGGCUCAACCUCGAGACGCCGAUGGAAACCCUCGAACUAGAGUCCGGAAGAGGAGAAUGGAAUUCCUGGUGUAGCGGUGAAAUGCGCAGAUAUCAGGAAGAACACCCGUGGCUAAGGCGGUUCUCUAGUACGGUACUGACGCUGAGACGCGAAAGCGUGGGGAGCGAACAGG
This 253-nucleotide ribosomal RNA is filed under the name uncultured bacterium. Its description in RNAcentral is "partial 16S ribosomal RNA". It matches the Rfam family "Bacterial small subunit ribosomal RNA", at positions 524 to 776 of the family's 1533-position model. The record is from RNAcentral.